Molecule: small nucleolar RNA, 88 nt
Organism: Ochotona princeps (American pika)
Lineage: Eukaryota; Metazoa; Chordata; Mammalia; Lagomorpha; Ochotonidae
Gene: SNORA74
Rfam family: Small nucleolar RNA SNORA74
About the family: U19 belongs to the H/ACA class of snoRNAs. snoRNAs bind a number of proteins (including dyskerin, Gar1p and Nop10p in the case of the H/ACA class) to form snoRNP complexes.
Source: Ensembl
CCCAGCAAUAGGCAACAGCCUAGGUUGCCUUGUACCUAGACAAGUAUUACAUUGCUGGAAGAAUAACAGCCAAUAGAAGGUGGGCAUU